GCUGCACGUUGCACCAUACAACUGAGGUCACUUGACAUUACUGAACAGGUCAUCCACGUGACAUUACUGUCAGCUGUUCACAGGUCAUCCACGUUGCAUUACUGUCAGCUGUUCAAUGGUCAUCCAUGUGACAUUACUGUCAGCUGUUCAAUGGUCAUCAACGUGACAUUACUGUCAGCUGUUCACAGGUCAUCCACGUCACAUUACUGUCAGCUGUUCACAGGUCAUCCACGUGACAUUACUGUCAGCUGUUCACAGGUCAUCAACGU
This is a long non-coding RNA of Haliotis rubra (blacklip abalone), 269 nucleotides long. RefSeq lists it as uncharacterized. The record is from RefSeq and is a predicted model, not a curated record. The transcript has 3 exons. Lineage: Eukaryota; Metazoa; Mollusca; Gastropoda; Lepetellida; Haliotidae.